RNAcentral lists this ribosomal RNA (253 nucleotides) under uncultured bacterium. RNAcentral describes it as "partial 16S ribosomal RNA". It matches the Rfam family "Bacterial small subunit ribosomal RNA", at positions 524 to 776 of the family's 1533-position model. The record is from RNAcentral.
UACGUAGGGGGCGAGCGUUGUCCGGAAUUAUUGGGCGUAAAGAGCGUGUAGGCGGCUUGGAAGGUCCCGUGUUAAAUCUUGAGGCUCAACCUCAAACUGUCACGGGAAACCACCUCGCUAGAGUCCGGAAGAGGAGAGUGGAAUUCCUGGUGUAGCGGUGAUAUGCGCAAAUAUCAGGAAGAACACCCGUGGCGAAGGCGGCUCUCUGGGACGGUACUGACGCUGAGACGCGAAAGCGUGGGGAGCGAACAGG